Molecule: long non-coding RNA, 674 nt
Organism: Dreissena polymorpha
Lineage: Eukaryota; Metazoa; Mollusca; Bivalvia; Myida; Dreissenidae
Exons: 9
Source: RefSeq, a predicted model, not a curated record
AAUUCCCUGUUUUGCUUUUAGGUUGGAGACUACAUAAGACUUUGACAGUUGGCGGGAAACCAUCAUCAACUGGAGAGAUGCCGGAAGAGGAAUGUCUGCGACUAAGUCAAGGGCCACUGGAUAAGGGUUGUUGAUGGCAAAACAGGUUGGAGACUACAUAAGACUUUGACAGUUGGCGGGAAACCAUCAUCAACUGGAGAGAUGCCGGAAGAGGAAUGUCUGCGACUAAGUCAAGGGCCACUGGAUAAGGGUUGUUGAUGGCAAAACAGGUUGGAGACUACAUAAGACUUUGACAGUUGGCGGGAAACCAUCAUCAACUGGAGAGAUGCCGGAAGAGGAAUGUCUGCGACUAAGUCAAGGGCCACUGGAUAAGGGUUGUUGAUGGCAAAACAGGUUGGAGACUACAUAAGACUUUGACAGUUGGCGGGAAACCAUCAUCAACUGGAGAGAUGCCGGUAAAAAGAUGGCCAUAAAACAGUGACCGCUGAUUCGCAUUGAGUUCUUUCUUACAUAUUGGAUGACCUAUGUUUUUUAUUGUUUAAAUCAUUGCGGCUUGGAAUGCUCUUUAAGAAAAGGAAGAGGAAUGUCUGCGACUAAGUCAAGGGCCACUGGAUAAGGGUUGUUGAUGGCAAAACAGGUUGGAGACUACAUAAGACUUUGACAGUUGGCGGAAA